UGGCUCAGAGGUUAAGAGCACUGGCUGCUCUUCCAGAGGACCUGGGUUCAACUCCCAG
This 58-nucleotide transfer RNA is filed under the name Mesocricetus auratus (golden hamster). The record is from Rfam by way of RNAcentral. Lineage: Eukaryota; Metazoa; Chordata; Mammalia; Rodentia; Cricetidae. RNAcentral also lists the same sequence under 1 other name.